GGCGGACGGGUGAGUAAUGCCUAGGAAAUUGCCUUGAUGUGGGGGAUAACCAUUGGAAACGAUGGCUAAUACCGCAUAAUGCCUACGGGCCAAAGAGGGGGAUCUUCGGACCUCUCGCGUCAAGAUAUGCCUAGGUGGGAUUAGCUAGUUGGUGAGGUAAUGGCUCACCAAGGCGACGAUCCCUAGCUGGUCUGAGAGGAUGAUCAGCCACACUGGAACUGAGACACGGUCCAGACUCCUACGGGAGGCAGCAGUGGGGAAUAUUGCACAAUGGGCGAAAGCCUGAUGCAGCCAUGCCGCGUGUAUGAAGAAGGCCUUCGGGUUGUAAAGUACUUUCAGUUGUGAGGAAGGGUGUGUAGUUAAUAGCUGCNUAUCUUGACGUUAGCAACAGAAGAAGCACCGGCUAACUCCGUGCCAGCAGCCGCGGUAAUACGGAGGGUGCGAGCGUUAAUCGGAAUUACUGGGCGUAAAGCGCAUGCAGGUGGUUCAUUAAGUCAGAUGUGAAAGCCCGGGGCUCAACCUCGGAACUGCAUUUGAAACUGGUGAACUAGAGUGCUGUAGAGGGGGGUAGAAUUUCAGGUGUAGCGGUGAAAUGCGUAGAGAUCUGAAGGAAUACCAGUGGCGAANGCNGGCCCCCUNNNCAGACACUGACACUCAGAUGCGAAAGCGUGGGGAGCAAACAGGAUUAGAUNNCCNGGNAGUCCACGCCGUAAACGAUGUCUACUU
This 726-nucleotide ribosomal RNA is filed under the name Vibrio sp. MR04-07. Its description in RNAcentral is "bacterial SSU rRNA". It matches the Rfam family "Bacterial small subunit ribosomal RNA", at positions 97 to 818 of the family's 1533-position model. The record is from RNAcentral. Lineage: Bacteria; Pseudomonadati; Pseudomonadota; Gammaproteobacteria; Vibrionales; Vibrionaceae.